Molecule: transfer RNA, 76 nt
Filed under: Oceanospirillaceae bacterium
Lineage: Bacteria; Pseudomonadati; Pseudomonadota; Gammaproteobacteria; Oceanospirillales; Oceanospirillaceae
Also listed under: 2 other names
Description: tRNA-Asn
Rfam family: tRNA
About the family: Transfer RNA (tRNA) molecules are approximately 80 nucleotides in length. Their secondary structure includes four short double-helical elements and three loops (D, anti-codon, and T loops).
Source: RNAcentral
UCCUCGAUAGCUCAGUUGGUAGAGCAGUAGACUGUUAAUCUAUUGGUCCCAGGUUCAAGUCCUGGUCGAGGAGCCA